UAUCAAUCGAUAAUUGUUUACUGCAAAAUUUCUCAAUCUUCUAAUGCAUUGACGGAUUGUGAUAUACUUAGAAAGGAAGUAAACUAUUAAAUAUGAUGAUCGCGAUCUAUCAGUUGGCACUUUUCAACCUUCUGACUUAUCGAAAAACUGUGAUAUAUUUAAAAAUGCAGUUAAAUUAUUAACGUGAUCGCGAUCUACCAGUUGGAAAUGUGGAUUUGAAUUUCUAAAAAUCACCAUUCAAUUUAUGCAGUUAAUUUUCCACUAUUCCUGAAUUAUUAUAAAUUCCUGUAGGUAAUUUCCGACUAUUCCUGGAUCACUGUAUAAUAUUGAUAACUAAUUUCCUACUAUUCCUAGAUUAUUGUAUCAUUUCAGUAACUAAUUUCCAUCUAUUCCUGGAUCAUUAUAUACACUUUCAGUAACUAAUUUAUGAAUCUUCCUCGAUUGUGAUAUAAUUUUCUGAUGCACCUAGAAGGAAAUUAUCAACUAGGAAAGCUAGUAACAGCUUUAAUAAAGAAAGGAAAACCUUAUUUAAAGAAUUCUAGUAUAUUUCACGUUAAAAUUUGGAUAUUUUACAUUAGAAUGGUUUAGAAAAAUGUCGGUUUACUGAUCAGAAAUUUCUGAAAAAUAUAAUUUAGACCUCUCCAUAAAUUAUUUUCUCUUACUUCUAUUUAGAUUCUUCGUAAAAUUCUCUCUACAAUUCGUUAGAAAAGCCUAUAUUUCAUGAGCACGUGUCAGGAUUAUAAAUAAGAAAUAUCCAAAAUUCGCCAGAUAUUCUACCUAAUGAUACCGUA
Molecule: long non-coding RNA, 791 nt
Filed under: Centruroides sculpturatus (bark scorpion)
Lineage: Eukaryota; Metazoa; Arthropoda; Arachnida; Scorpiones; Buthidae
Description: uncharacterized LOC111621293, transcript variant X1
Source: RNAcentral